RNAcentral lists this long non-coding RNA (377 nucleotides) under Hordeum vulgare. Its description in RNAcentral is "long non-coding RNA (HVUL_LNC015759)". Lineage: Eukaryota; Viridiplantae; Streptophyta; Magnoliopsida; Poales; Poaceae. The record is from RNAcentral.
AACUUGAAGUAAGCUUCUUCAAACUUCAUAAUUGGAGCUGUUCUACAUGAACGUCAACACCACCAUCAGAUCUGUCCUUAGAAGCUGCUAGUCCCACGCACCACCUCGUACUCUUAAUGUACACGCAACCAUAUUUCAAGAUGAAGACAUUAGAAGCCAUAUCAAACAUGAUCAUUUAAAAUAAAAAACAAUUCUAAAUUUUGGAGUGCACAAUACACAAUUUCACUCAAACAAAAUGGUAUAGAAAUGCCAUGUUAGUUUACAUACGCAAACAACAAAAAUAGUAUUAUGGAAUUAUAUGGCAUUGAAUUGCAGGAUGACGAUCUGUGUCAAGACUCGGUGUAUUUUAAACAGCAAUACAAUUAAACACAGAAUUC